Molecule: non-coding RNA, 201 nt
Organism: Styela clava
Lineage: Eukaryota; Metazoa; Chordata; Ascidiacea; Stolidobranchia; Styelidae
Source: RefSeq, a predicted model, not a curated record
CUAUAAUUUAACUUCUAAUUCCGAUUUUCACCAAAAAAAAACAAGCGAUAAAAAUGAUGUGGAAAACUUUGUACAAUAUUGCAUUCGCAAUGCUUUGCCUACUUUGCAGUUUUGUUAUGUUAACCCAGGCCGCGCCAGUUGGAGUUGGAUGCAAGAACACAUGUUCUGAUGGAUUCAUUCCCGACGAGGCGUGUAUAUGUA